UAUUAGAAGCAGAGAUUAUAUCAGAACCAGAAGAUUUACAACUCGCAAAACAAGUAGAAUUGAUAGAAAGAGAAAUGCUACCAGUAACAGGAAGUGUUUUGGAUGGUAAUAAACGCAACUACGAGUACUAUGUAUUCCAGAAAAAUGACAGCAAAGGGGAAGCAGAAAUAGUAGCAGAAGAAACGAUAUCAAAAAAUCUAGAAAUUUCAGAUGGAGUGGGAAAAAUUUUAGAAUCGAACAUCAGCAACAAACAUGAUAAUAUAGGAACUAGCAAGAAAUAUGUGUUACGUGAAAUACAAAUACCUCCAAAAAUGGUUAAAUGUGGAAGACCGAAGGGUUCAGAGUUAACAGUCAUUGGUACAAAAAGAAAAAGGCGUAAAGCAUCAGGUCCAUCCAACAACUGAAUUUUAUUUUUCAUUUUUUAUUUAUUUCGAUUUGGUUUAACUCUGUAAAGUUUCUUAUAAUAAUAAUGUAUUCUCAAUAAAUAAUGUUAAUUUGA
This is a long non-coding RNA of Photinus pyralis (common eastern firefly), 499 nucleotides long. RefSeq lists it as uncharacterized. The transcript is spliced from 2 exons. The record is from RefSeq and is a predicted model, not a curated record. NCBI's taxonomy places the organism in Eukaryota, Metazoa, Arthropoda, Insecta, Coleoptera, Lampyridae.